Molecule: small nucleolar RNA, 124 nt
Organism: Rhinolophus ferrumequinum (greater horseshoe bat)
Lineage: Eukaryota; Metazoa; Chordata; Mammalia; Chiroptera; Rhinolophidae
Gene: SNORA28
Product: small nucleolar RNA, H/ACA box 28
Source: Ensembl
AAGCAACACUCUGUGGCAGAUGAUCAAAACUGUCUGACACAAUUUGAGCUUGCUAUAGCAAGAAAGUCUAACCUAUUCCGGCGCUCUCCUCCAUGAGAAAAGCCGUUAUAUAGACUUAAACAGU